GACGAACGCUGGCGGCGUGCUUAACACACGCAAGUCGAACGGAAAGGCCCUCACCUUGGUGGGGGUGCUCGAGUGGCGAACGGGUGAGUAACACGUGGGUGAUCUGCCCUGUACUUCGGGAUAAGCUUGGGAAACUGGGUCUAAUACCGGAUAGGACCAUGGUUUAGUGUCUCAUGGUGGAAAAAUUAUUGUUUUGGUGCAGGAUGAGCUCGCGGCCUAUCAGCUUGUUGGUGGGGUAAUGGCCUACCAAGGCGUCGACGGGUAGCCGGCCUGAGAGGGUGGACGGCCACAUUGGGACUGAGAUACGGCCCAGACUCCUACGGGAGGCAGCAGUGGGGAAUAUUGCACAAUGGGCGCAAGCCUGAUGCAGCGACGCCGCGUGGGGGAUGACGGCCUUCGGGUUGUAAACUCCUUUCGUUAGGGACGAAGCCACACUUUUUUUGGGUGUGGUGACGGUACCUUUGUUAAGAAGCACCGGCUAACUACGUGCCAGCAGCCGCGGUAAUACGUAGGGUGCGAGCGUUGUCCGGAAUUACUGGGCGUAAAGAGCUCGUAGGUGGUUUGUUGCGUCGUCUGUGAAAUUCCGGGGCUUAACUUCGGGGUGGCAGGCGAUACGGGCAUAACUAGAGUGCUGUAGGGGAGACUGGAAUUCCUGGUGUAGCGGUGGAAUGCGCAGAUAUCAGGAGGAACACCGAUGGCGAAGGCAGGUCUCUGGGCAGUAACUGACGCUGAGGAGCGAAAGCAUGGGGAGCGAACAGGAUUAGAUACCCUGGUAGUCCAUGCUGUAAACGGUGGGCGUUAGGUGUGGGGACCGGUUUGGUUUCUGUGCCGUAGCUAACGCAUUAAGCGCCCCGCCUGGGGAGUACGGCCGCAAGGCUAAAACUCAAAGGAAUUGACGGGGGCCCGCACAAGCGGCGGAGCAUGUGGAUUAAUUCGAUGCAACGCGAAGAACCUUACCUGGGUUUGACAUGCACCAGACGGUUGUAGAGAUACGUACCUCCCUUUGUGGUUGGUGUGCAGGUGGUGCAUGGUUGUCGUCAGCUCGUGUCGUGAGAUGUUGGGUUAAGUCCCGCAACGAGCGCAACCCUUGUCUUAUGUUGCCAGCACGUUUGGGUGGGGACUCAUGAGAGACUGCCGGGGUUAACUCGGAGGAAGGUGGGGAUGACGUCAAAUCAUCAUGCCCUUUAUGCCCAGGGCUUCACACAUGCUACAAUGGUUAGUACAACGCGCGGCGAGCCUGUGAGGGUGAGCGAAUCGCUGAAAGCUAAUCUCAGUUCGGAUUGGGGUCUGCAACUCGACCCCAUGAAGUCGGAGUCGCUAGUAAUCGCAGAUCAGCAAUGCUGCGGUGAAUACGUUCCCGGGCCU
RNAcentral lists this ribosomal RNA (1365 nucleotides) under uncultured bacterium. RNAcentral's name for it is "bacterial SSU rRNA". It matches the Rfam family "Bacterial small subunit ribosomal RNA", at positions 28 to 1381 of the family's 1533-position model. The record is from RNAcentral.